UAAAGUCCUUUGUGAAAGAAUGAUUUUGAUUUGGGUUCUACUAUGCAUGAUUGAAAUGUGGUAUGAUGAGAUUGAUUUUGUUAUGUGAAGCUAUGAUCAUAUGCUAGGGUUAUCAGCCCUUAUAAAUAGGCGGACGCGCUUAUUUGUGUGAUGGGGGUGGCGCUUUCAUAGGCCACGAUUGUGUGAUGGGGGUGGCGCUAACAUAGGCUACGAUCAAAUCUGCUUAUGUUCAUUCU
This 236-nucleotide long non-coding RNA is filed under the name Jatropha curcas. Its description in RNAcentral is "long non-coding RNA (JCUR_LNC002569)". The record is from RNAcentral. Lineage: Eukaryota; Viridiplantae; Streptophyta; Magnoliopsida; Malpighiales; Euphorbiaceae.